This is a long non-coding RNA of Dermochelys coriacea (leatherback sea turtle), 153 nucleotides long. RefSeq lists it as uncharacterized. The transcript has 3 exons. NCBI's taxonomy places the organism in Eukaryota, Metazoa, Chordata, Testudines, Dermochelyidae. The record is from RefSeq and is a predicted model, not a curated record.
AGGAAAAUGUGAGAGUGACUGUGAUGGGUUCAGACACAGAGACCCCCUUGGGACUGUCACCUGAUGUGCUGAAACUACCUUUGAACCCAUUUUCUUUGAUGGCUUGGGACUCCAAAACCCUGCCUUGUUGAGCCAGAUACGCAAGCCUGCUGC